Molecule: ribosomal RNA, 55 nt
Filed under: Ampelocera hottlei
Lineage: Eukaryota; Viridiplantae; Streptophyta; Magnoliopsida; Rosales; Ulmaceae
Also listed under: 1 other name
Description: partial 26S ribosomal RNA
Source: RNAcentral
GCGACCCCAGGUCAGGCGGGGCUACCCGCUGAGUUUAAGCAUAUCAAUAAGCGGA